This 343-nucleotide ribosomal RNA is filed under the name Clostridioides difficile. RNAcentral describes it as "bacterial LSU rRNA". It matches the Rfam family "Bacterial large subunit ribosomal RNA", at positions 729 to 1073 of the family's 2925-position model. Lineage: Bacteria; Bacillati; Bacillota; Clostridia; Peptostreptococcales; Peptostreptococcaceae. The record is from RNAcentral.
CCUGCCCAAGCAUCAAGGGAAGCGAAAGUAAAAUGUCGUGGAGGUCCGAACGCACGAGCGUGAAAAGCUCGGGGAUGACUUGUGGGUAGCGGUGAAAUUCCAAUCGGGCCCGGAGAUAGCUGGUUCUCCCCGAAAUAGCUUUAGGGCUAGCCGCAAGGUGAGAGAUACGGAGGUAGAGCACUGAAUGUCCUAGGGGGUAUUGCACCUACCGAAGACUAUCAAACUCCGAAGGCCGUCAUCUUAUACUUGGGAGUCAGACUGUGGGUGAUAAGAUUCAUAGUCGAAAGGGCAACAGCCCAGAGCGUCAGCUAAGUUCCCUAAAUGUAAGUUAAGUGGUAAAGGA